Molecule: microRNA precursor, 58 nt
Filed under: Pristionchus pacificus
Lineage: Eukaryota; Metazoa; Nematoda; Chromadorea; Rhabditida; Neodiplogasteridae
Description: microRNA ppc-mir-8364q precursor
Source: miRBase by way of RNAcentral
UCCAUUUCACACGCUCUCUCGCCAUGUCUAACCGACGAGAUAGCGUGUGAACUGGAGA